GAUGAACGCUGGCGGCGUGCCUAAUACAUGCAAGUCGAGCGAACAGACGAGGAGCUUGCUCCUCUGACGUUAGCGGCGGAUGGGUGAGUAACACGUGGAUAACCUACCUAUAAGACUGGGAUAACUUCGGGAAACCGGAGCUAAUACCGGAUAAUAUAUUGAACCGCAUGGUUCAAUAGUGAAAGACGGUUUUGCUGUCACUUAUAGAUGGAUCCACGCCGCAUUAGUUAGUUGGUAAGGUAACGGCUUACCAAGGCAACGAUGCGUAGCCGACCUGAGAGGGUGAUCGGCCACACUGGAACUGAGACACGGUCCAGACUCCUACGGGAGGCAGCAGUAGGGAAUCUUCCGCAAUGGGCGAAAGCCUGACGGAGCAACGCCGCGUGAGUGAUGAAGGUCUUCGGAUCGUAAAACUCUGUUAUUAGGGAAGAACAAAUGUGUAAGUAACUAUGCACGUCUUGACGGUACCUAAUCAGAAAGCCACGGCUAACUACGUG
This 497-nucleotide ribosomal RNA is filed under the name uncultured bacterium. RNAcentral describes it as "partial 16S ribosomal RNA". It matches the Rfam family "Bacterial small subunit ribosomal RNA", at positions 28 to 507 of the family's 1533-position model. The record is from RNAcentral.